GUGAGGAAUAUUGGACAAUGGGCGCAAGCCUGAUCCAGCCAUGCCGCGUGCAGGAAGACGCAUCUAUGGUGUGUAAACUGCUUUUGUACGGGAAGAAACACUCCCUCGUGAGGGAGCUUGACGGUACCGUAAGAAUAAGGAUCGGCUAACUCCGUGCCAGCAGCCGCGGUAAUACGGAGGAUCCAAGCGUUAUCCGGAAUCAUUGGGUUUAAAGGGUCCGUAGGCGGUUUAAUAAGUCAGUGGUGAAAGCCCAUCGCUCAACGAUGGAACGGCCAUUGAUACUGUUAGACUUGAAUUACAAGGAAGUAACUAGAAGAUGUAGUGUAGCGGUGAAAUGCUUAGAUAUUACAUGGAAUACCAAUUGCGAAGGCAGGUUACUACUUGUGGAUUGACGCUGAUGGACGAAAGCGUGGGGAGCGAACAGGAUUAGAUACCCUAGUAGUCC
RNAcentral lists this ribosomal RNA (445 nucleotides) under uncultured bacterium. RNAcentral describes it as "partial 16S ribosomal RNA". It matches the Rfam family "Bacterial small subunit ribosomal RNA", at positions 354 to 796 of the family's 1533-position model. The record is from RNAcentral.